GACGAACGCUGGCGGCGUGCCUAAUACAUGCAAGUUGAGCGCUGAAGGUUGGUACUUGUACCAACUGGAUGAGCAGCGCACGGGUGAGUAACGCGUGGGGAAUCUGCCUUUGAUCGGGGGACAACAUUUGGAAACGAAUGCUAAUACCGCAUAAAAACUUUAAACACAAGUGUGAAGUUUGAAAGAUGCAAUUGCAUCACUCAAAGAUGAUCCCGCGUUGUAUUAGCUAGUUGGUGAGGUAAAGGCUCACCAAGGCGAUGAUACAUAGCCGACCUGAGAGGGUGAUCGGCCACAUUGGGACUGAGACACGGCCCAAACUCCUACGGGAGGCAGCAGUAGGGAAUCUUCGGCAAUGGACGAAAGUCUGACCGAGCAACGCCGCGUGAGUGAAGAAGGUUUUCGGAUCGUAAAACUCUGUUGGUAGAGAAGAACGUUGGUGAGAGUGGAAAGCUCAUCAAGUGACGGUAACUACCCAGAAAGGGACGGCUAACUACGUG
Molecule: ribosomal RNA, 497 nt
Filed under: uncultured bacterium
Lineage: Bacteria
Description: partial 16S ribosomal RNA
Rfam family: Bacterial small subunit ribosomal RNA
Source: RNAcentral